RNAcentral lists this ribosomal RNA (253 nucleotides) under uncultured prokaryote. RNAcentral describes it as "partial 16S ribosomal RNA". It matches the Rfam family "Bacterial small subunit ribosomal RNA", at positions 524 to 776 of the family's 1533-position model. The record is from RNAcentral.
UACAGAGGUCCCGAGCGUUGUUCGGAUUUACUGGGCGUAAAGGGUGUGUAGGCGGUCGAGACAGUCCGGCGUUAAAUAUCUGGGCUCAACCCAGAUACCGCGUUGGAUACUACUUGGCUAGAGAGGCAUAGGGGGAACCGGAAUUCUCGGUGUAGCAGUGAAAUGCGUAGAUAUCGAGAGGAACGCCAGUGGCGAAAGCGGGUUCCUGGAUGCCUUCUGACGCUGAGGCACUAAAGCUGGGGGAGCAAACGGG